CACAGUCUUGGGGAGUUCUUCAUAUACCAGUCACACCCUGUACAUUUGUCUUUGCAGUCAGAACUCAACGUGAACAUGAAAUCCCCUGUUCAGUUCUUUGGGCUCCUGUUGCUCUGGUUUACAGGUGCCAGAUGUGACAUCCAGAUGACCCAGUCUCCAUCCUCCCUGCCUGCAUCUCUAGGAGACAAAGUUACCCUCAGUUGCAGGGCAAGUCAGAAUAUUAACAACAAUUUAAACUGGUAUCAGCAGAAAUCAGAUGGAACUGUAAAACGCCUGAUCUACUACACAUCCAAUUUAGAUUCUGGUGUCCCUUCAAGAUUCAGUGGUAGUGGGUCUGGGACAGAUUAUUCUCUAACCAUCAGCAGCCUAGAGUCUGAAGAUUUCGCAAUGUAUUACUGCCUGCAGUAUGAUAGUUUCCCUCCCACAGUGAUACAACAUAACAUGUAUGAUACAGAUUAUACUAAUGACUUUCUCUUUGGCUUUAGAUCUCAGACAUUAGAGAAGCUCUACCGAUAUGAACUCCACCUUCCAUUUCUGCGUUGGAAAGAGCCACUGUCUGCUGCAGGUCUUUAUAAGGAUCUCCCAACAACUGGAACAGAAGCUGUUCCUAAAGCUAUUGCUGAUGGAAAUGUAAAUGUUUGCAGCAAUUGUGGAAGUCAAUAUAGUGAUUCCUCAGAAAAGAGAAUCAACCUACUUCAUGAUUCAGUUAUAUCACUCUUGGGCAUAUAUUAA
This is a non-coding RNA of Mastomys coucha (southern multimammate mouse), 732 nucleotides long. Lineage: Eukaryota; Metazoa; Chordata; Mammalia; Rodentia; Muridae. The record is from the annotation of a RefSeq genome assembly.